CCUACGGGUGGCAGCAGUCGAGAAUCAUUCACAAUGGGGGAAACCCUGAUGGUGCGACGCCGCGUGGGGGAAUGAAGGUCUUCGGAUUGUAAACCUCUGUCAUGUGGGAGCAAAUUAAAAAGCUAGUACCACAAGGGGAAGAGACGGCGAACUCUGUGCGAGCAGCCGCGGUAAUACAGCGGUCUCAAGCUUUGUUCGGAAGCCCUGGGCGUAAAGCGUGCGUAGGCGGUUUCGUAAGGCGUGUGUGAAAGGCGCGGGCUCAAACCGCGGACGGCACAUGAUACUGGGAGACUAGAGUAAUGGAGAGGGAAGCGGAAUGCGCGGUGUAGCAGUGAAAUGCGUAGAUAUCGAGAGGAA
This 357-nucleotide ribosomal RNA is filed under the name uncultured bacterium. RNAcentral's name for it is "partial 16S ribosomal RNA". It matches the Rfam family "Bacterial small subunit ribosomal RNA", at positions 338 to 706 of the family's 1533-position model. The record is from RNAcentral.